This 250-nucleotide ribosomal RNA is filed under the name uncultured bacterium. Its description in RNAcentral is "partial 16S ribosomal RNA". It matches the Rfam family "Bacterial small subunit ribosomal RNA", at positions 524 to 773 of the family's 1533-position model. The record is from RNAcentral.
UACGUAGGGUGCAAGCGUUGUUCGGAAUUACUGGGCGUAAAGGGAGCGUAGGUGGAUUUGUAAGUUAGGAGUUUAAUUCAUGGGCUUAACCCAUGUCCGGCUCUUAAUACUGCGAAUCUUGAGUAUUGGAGAGGGUGAUGGAAUUUCACGUGUAGCGGUGGAAUGCGUAGAUAUGUGAAAGAACACCAGUAGCGAAGGCGGUCACCUGGCCAAAUACUGACACUGAGGCUCGAAAGCUAGGGGAGCAAAC